CUACAAGGGUUUCUAAUCCUGUUUGCUCCCCACGCUUUCGCACCUCAGCGUCAGUUGUGGUCCAGUGAGCCGCCUUCGCCACUGGUGUUCCUGCGAAUAUCUACGAAUUUCACCUCUACACUCGCAAUUCCACUCACCUCUACCACACUCAAGAUUUCCGGUAUCAGAGGCCGUUCCGGGGUUGAGCCCCGGGAUUUCACCCCUGACUUAAAAAUCCGCCUACGUGCGCUUUACGCCCAGUAAUUCCGAACAACGCUAGCCCCCUUCGUAUUACCGCGGCUGCUGGCAC
RNAcentral lists this ribosomal RNA (289 nucleotides) under uncultured Aurantimonadaceae bacterium. Its description in RNAcentral is "partial 16S ribosomal RNA". The record is from RNAcentral. Lineage: Bacteria; Pseudomonadati; Pseudomonadota; Alphaproteobacteria; Hyphomicrobiales; Aurantimonadaceae.